GUGGGGAAUUUUGGACAAUGGGGGCAACCCUGAUCCAGCCAUGCCGCGUGCGGGAAGAAGGCCUUCGGGUUGUAAACCGCUUUUGUCAGGGAAGAAAUCCUUUGGGUUAAUACCUCGGAGGGAUGACGGUACCUGAAGAAUAAGCACCGGCUAACUACGUGCCAGCAGCCGCGGUAAUACGUAGGGUGCGAGCGUUAAUCGGAAUUACUGGGCGUAAAGCGUGCGCAGGCGGUUUUGUAAGAUCGAUGUGAAAUCCCCGGGCUCAACCUGGGGACUGCAUUGGUGACUGCAAGGCUGGAGUGCGGCAGAGGGGGAUGGAAUUCCGCGUGUAGCAGUGAAAUGCGUAGAUAUGCGGAGGAACACCGAUGGCGAAGGCAAUCCCCUGGGCCUGCACUGACGCUCAUGCACGAAAGCGUGGGGAGCAAACAGGAUUAGAAACCCGAGUAGUCC
This 450-nucleotide ribosomal RNA is filed under the name uncultured bacterium. RNAcentral describes it as "partial 16S ribosomal RNA". It matches the Rfam family "Bacterial small subunit ribosomal RNA", at positions 354 to 796 of the family's 1533-position model. The record is from RNAcentral.